This 70-nucleotide transfer RNA is filed under the name Camelus bactrianus (Bactrian camel). It matches the Rfam family "tRNA". From Rfam's summary of the family: Transfer RNA (tRNA) molecules are approximately 80 nucleotides in length. Their secondary structure includes four short double-helical elements and three loops (D, anti-codon, and T loops). RNAcentral also lists the same sequence under 1 other name. The record is from Rfam by way of RNAcentral. Lineage: Eukaryota; Metazoa; Chordata; Mammalia; Artiodactyla; Camelidae.
GAGGGUAUAGCCAAAUGGUAGUGCAUGCUUAGCAUGCAUGAGGUCCUAGGUUCAAUCCCCAGUACCUCCA